CGCGCAUGCGUAGUGCCAUGUCUCGACACCAGGUGCUAGUUCGGGCGGAAGGUGCAGUAAUUCACCUUGGCACGCCCUCCAAGAUUGCAUGAAAUUUUACCGCGGCGGCAGUAUCCUGUCCUAGAAAGUAACCGGCUCCACGGUCUGUUCGGGAUGGGCGACCAUGGCGGGGAAAGAAAAAGCUCGAUCCUACUUUACGAUGUCGGGCGGCAGCUGCAACUUGGCCCAGGGUACAAGCAGUGCAGCCUCUCAUCUAGACAAUAGCGGAGUUCCCGAAGAUACCGGAGAAGCGGCGUGGAACCAACGAGAGAACCAGGCUGCGAACAGAAAGCAAGUGUGCAGUUUGUGCCGCUUCCUUUUCGCCCACAUGGGGGCCUUCCAAGAGCACACCGCCGACCACUUGCUUGGAAAAAAACAGAUCUGCCCCGUCUGUAGUAAACUGUUUAUGCUUGAGUACCUCCUCAAGCGCCACAUACCUACGCAUGGCCUAGAGUCCUUGGCGUGUGGCAUGUGCGGCAAAAAAAUUUACGACAAAGGAAUCCUCACGAAGCAUACGCUUCCAUGCAACGUAGGCACACAAGAUCGCGAAGCCGUUGAAGGGAAUCCUUAGCACGGCAGCACGCGCGACAAAACUGGACGAGCACGUCGUGAAGAACCGUCGCACGUGACCGUGGCAUCGACAUCGGUGCAGCCGGAUGUUCACAAGGCGAGGACUGACUUCUCUGGAUGUCGCCGUGGCCCCAAGAUGUGUCGUGUGCCUUCGCAGAGGAACUUGCGGUCUCGGCCCCAACUUUUCCAGCUAUGCACUAACUUCUUGACAAACAAAGCAGGGCUAAUCUCAUUCUUACUGACUACGGCUGAAGAAUGCCCGCGAAUAAAAUUCUCAGUGGUUAUCUCGAGGAAUACUGUG
Dermacentor albipictus is the source of this 910-nucleotide non-coding RNA. The record is from RefSeq and is a predicted model, not a curated record. NCBI's taxonomy places the organism in Eukaryota, Metazoa, Arthropoda, Arachnida, Ixodida, Ixodidae.